CACUGAUUGAUCACACCUAAGAGUCCUUCUUGCCUAAGCUUGAACUGGUCAAAGGGUUUGACAUAUCAAAGACUUAAUGUAAUAGAACUCUAACAUGAAGGAGUUCACGAUAAUUACAAAAGAAAUCAAAUCUCACACCCAAGAGAGAGAGCUUGCCCCCUUUUGUCUUACACCCCACCUUCUUAUUCUUCAUAUGGAAUUGUUUCACGCC
Molecule: long non-coding RNA, 211 nt
Filed under: Elaeis guineensis (African oil palm)
Lineage: Eukaryota; Viridiplantae; Streptophyta; Magnoliopsida; Arecales; Arecaceae
Description: long non-coding RNA (EGUI_LNC048885)
Source: RNAcentral